RNAcentral lists this long non-coding RNA (4804 nucleotides) under Solanum melongena (eggplant). Its description in RNAcentral is "long non-coding RNA (SMEL_LNC000184)". Lineage: Eukaryota; Viridiplantae; Streptophyta; Magnoliopsida; Solanales; Solanaceae. The record is from RNAcentral.
GGCCAACUUGAUCCUCUUCCCCAGAGAUCUCAGAUGAGGGAACCCUGGGAGAGCCGCCGACUCCAACUACCAUCCAUGUACGAUCCAUACUAGAUCUGACCAACUGCCCAUCCUACCUCCUCUACGUUCUUGACAGCCCAUCUUUGUCUCAGUAGAGUCUUUCAGUGGCACGUUUCGGUCAUCUUCCCCAUUACUUAGAAAAAGUGAGCCACCGGUUUUCCGGAUCUAUGCUUAUUUUCAACUCCCCGAAGCAUUUCAUCGAUUACUACGCCCUUCCUCGUCUCUGGGUGCCUAGGUAUCCACCGUAAGCCUUUCCAUAGUUCCGGAAUUUAUACACGAAUCAAGAUCUAUAAAAGGAAGUUAUACAAUCAUUCAUAGCACAAGACUUUACUACUCAAGCUGCAUUAUAUACCCACCACCAAUAUAUCGCAGGAUUCAUCAUGACAGGAGCUUUUGCUAUAUGUAAUUAUAUAAAACAAAGACUUCUGCAUCCCGUCCAUAUUUGGGCUAUGACUGUACUAUCAAGUCUUAAGACUAAUGGUACAUUCAACCAACAACGUCCGUUGAAGUAUCUAAGACUCGGAAGCAGUUUCUAUUUCUACAUCUCUUUCUUCCUCACUUUCCACCCUUUCUUCUGUUUUUUAGGCUUCUUUCAGUUUCUUAGUAAGAAUGGGUGAGGGUAUUCUGCCUAAAUAGUCCAAUUUUGAACUUUUUUGUAUUCCUUGGAAUUUCUUUUUCCUGUUCCUGGUGGUGGGUCGCUUACCAAUGUCAGUAAUUGAUGAUUACACAAUUCGAACAAUUUCGAAUUUACCUCAAAUAAACAAUGAAUAAACCCUUAAUUUGAUUCAAAAAAAUUACAAAUUACGAAGGCUUAGUUGGUCACAUUUUAUUCAUGAAAUGGCUUGGAUUGGUAUUAGUCUGGAUACAGCAAAAUCAUUCUAUUAGAUCGAAUAAGUACAUUCGAUCCAAGAACGAAGUAAUCUUUUACUUUAGUUAAAGAACCUUUUUCUGAGAAAGGAGAAUAGGAAUGAAAUAAAAAAAUAGAAAUAGAAAGAAAAGAAGCUAAUUGCAAAAAGAAAAAGGAGGGAUGUCUUUUUUUGUUUUUAAAAGAACCGGACAGAAGACAGGCCCCAUUGUGAUACCUCGUGCAAGUUAUAGUUAAUGACCUGAAAGAAGUCACUAGCUUCUUGCUAUCGAGCGUGCCUUAGCCUUAGUUUACAAAGGAAGCUUUGUCGUACUUAGAAAAGGAUGGUUUAGCACCUAGUGCAACUGCUCCUGGUGCAACAGCAAGCACCAGUUUAACUUGGGGGGUGGUGAUUUAGUGGCAGUGGGUGGCAAGCCAUAUUCGUAGUAUAUGUAGAUGGAGUAAAAGGGUACAAACUUUGGUGUUUGUCUUUACUUAAAUUUAUAGUUAGUAGAGAUGUUACCUUUGAUGAAUCCUCUAUACUUGAUCCACGUAAAGUUUCUGUGGAGUUAUCAAGAAAUGAGAACAACGAGCAGGUGGAGCUAUCGGUGGAGCAUACCAAGAAAUGGGAUAGAGACUCAAAUUGAUGAGUCAAAAGAUGCAGAUCUUGAAGAACUUGCUUCUAAUGAACCAUACACAAUUGCGAAGGGAAGGGACAAAAGGUAGAUACGGAAACCAGAACGUCUUAUAGAGCAAGAAAAUCUAAUUUCAUAUGAAUUCGUAGCUGCAUAAGAACAGAUUAAGGAUCUCGAGCCCUUUUCGUAUGUUGAAGUAACUUCUUGCAAAUAUGCUGCACAAUAGCAGUUAGCCAUGAUGAAGAAAUAUAGUAUGUUCACAAAAAUGAGACAUGGAUCUUAGUUAAAAGGCCAAAGAAGAUGAGGACAGUUGGAUGCAAAUGGGUCUACAUAAAGAAAGAAGGCAUUCCAGAAGUGUAAUAUGCUAGGUUUAAGGCGAGAUUGGUUGCAAAGGGUUUCAGUCAAAAAAAGGGAAUUGAUUAUAAUGAUAUCUUAUCUCCAGUCGUGAAACAUAACUCAAUUUGCGUGCUACUAGCAUUGGUUGCACAAUUUGAUUUAGAGUUUCAAGAACUUGAUGUAAAAACUGCUAUCUUACAUGGUGGUCUAAAAGAGACAAUCUAGAUGGAUCAGCCUGAAGGUUUCUUAGCUGAAGGAAAAGAAGACCAUGUAUGCCAACUGAAUAAGCCUUUGUAUGGUUUGAAGCAAUCCCCUAGACAGUGGUACAAGAGAUUUGAUACAUUCAUGACUACACAUGGACUUUUGAGGAGUGCAUUUUAUAGUUGUGUGUAUCACAAGAAGAUGUCUGGUAAUUCUAUGAUUUAUCUAUUGUUGUAUGUUGAUAUGCUUAUUGCUGCUAACAACAUCACAGAUAUAAAUAUUUUAAAGAAACUUUUAAACAAGAAAUUUGAUAUGAAAGAUUUGGGACUUCCAAAGAAAAUUCUUGGAAUAGAGAUUACAAGAGAAAAUGGUGCUAUACAUCUUUCUCAAAAGAGGUACAUUGAAAAAGUUCUUGAGAGAUUCAAUAUGCAUAUGAGCAAGCCUGUAAGUACACCAUUAGCUCCUCAUUUCAAGAUUUCAGGGUUACAAAAGCCUUAGUCUAUGAAUGAGGUGGAGCAUAUGUCAAAGUUCCUUUUGCGAGCCCAGUUGGUUGCAUAAUGUAUGCUAUGGUGUGCACAUGUCCAGAUAUUGCUCAAUAUCUAAGUGUGGUAAGUAGAUACAUGACAAAUCCAGGAAAAAGGCACUGGGAAUUUGUCAAGUGGAUAUUGAGAUAUCUCAAAGGAGCUCUUGAUGUUGGUCUAACCUUUCAGAAAAUUGAAGGUAUUUCAUUUCUUGGUUAUGUAGAUUCUGACUAUGCAGGGGAUCUUGAUCGAAGGAGGUCCACAAGUGGAUACAUCUUUACUCUCGUUGGCAGUGUCGUUAGUUGGAAAUCGACUUUACAGUCGAUUGUCGCUUUGUCUACAACAGAGGAAGAAUAUAUGGCAGCAACAGAGGCAAUGAAAGAAGCUAUCUGGUUGAAAGGUUUGGUGGUAGAAUUGAAUUCGGUUCAGCUUGAAUCAAUUCUUAGAUGUGAUAGUCAAAGUGAGGCCCAUUUACUUAUGUUUUCUCGUAUGAAUCUUUUGUCUCUGGCUAUUGAGGAUCCCAUUUUUGUGCCAAUGCAAGAUAUGCUUAUUGGAAUCAUUAGUUUACCCCCAUCUAUAUGAAUGAUCGGUCUCAACUUAGGAGGAAAAAUUGGUAAUAGACACAAAACCAUCCAUUCGGGCCUAUUCAUUUGGUUAAAAACCAAAGAUUUUAUGAGCGCAUCAAACAUAUUGAUGUCAGAUUCCAUUUUAUUCGAGUUGUCGUAGAAGAGGGAGCUAUCAAGUUUGAGAAGGUUAUCACAGACGAUAACGCUGCAGACAUAUUGACCAAAAUAGUCCCGCUUGCCAUGUUUGCACACUGCAAAGACUUGGCGGGAGUAUGCAUCAAUUGAUGCAAUUGUAAGAGAACAACUGCUAGGCGGAGAUGAUAUGUUCAACAGAGGUUUUAUUCUUAUUGUUUCUUACAAUGGGAUUGCCCAGUAAGCUUAGAACUUGUGGCUGGAGUUCUUUAUAUGCAUGCUUGGAACACACACCAAGGUGGAGAUUGAAAGAGUAGGUUCGGUUCUUGUGGAAUCAAACUAAAUGGAAGAUUAAUUGACAUGAAUAUUUGGUAGGAAAAUAAUUAGUAAAAAAUAAAAGUCAAGAUAGCAUCUUGGUAGGUGAAGUUUAGGCAAACCAUAAAAUGGUUUCAUAUUUUUAACCUUAACAUUUUUUACAUAUAGUGAUGUCAUAGAUGACAUCAAUACGAUAAAUUCAUUCCUAUAAAUAGGUAACUCUUAAUUCAUUUUCAAUAACAUCCUCUCACUUGCCUUCUCACCUUCUAAGACAUUAGCGUUCUCUAUCUUGUAGUAUUUCACUUGUAUUCUUUGUAGAGUGAAAUACAUAUUGGUGUAGUUAUUCUUUGGUGGACGUAGGAUCAUUUUGAUAUGAACCACGUUAAAUAUUGUUGUUCUUCCUUAUUCUUUAAUUUCACGUUUCCUUUAACAAAGUUAUUCCUAUUGUAUCCAGGUGCAAACUUUUCUUUGAUACCACAUAUUUUCCUCCAGUACCAGCAACUAUCAGCCAUUGGUCGAUAUUGUCAUGAGUCACUUCCCUCCAAAUAAAUAUGGUUCACCCAUUUAACCCAUAAAUUUUCACCCUUCUUAGCUAUAUUCCACAUAUACUUUGCUAUUGCUGCUUCAUUCCUUUUCGUACACUCCAUUAUGCCCAAUCCACCUUCAUUUUUACUUCGACAUACAUCCUUCCAAGCUAUGAGUGGUGAUUUUAAAGUGUUCUCUUGACCACUCCAUAGAAAACUUCUGCAUAUUGCUGUAAUGUUCUUUAACACAUUCUUAAACAUGAGUAUUGGUUAAAAAAAAGAUAAAUACGGAAUCGAUGACACAUGGCAUUUUCCCCAAACAAUUAUAUGAUGAUCUAUGUGGUUGGUUAAUGUUUUAAUUCUAUAUUAUGCUUCUUGUAUUAUACUCUCAGAAUUGUUCACAUCUUAUAGUUGAUUUAUUUGAGCAUUCUUAUCUGUCUAUUUAUUAUUCUAUUUGUUUAUAUGUAUAAUGUAGUGACGUUUGCGUGCAAUAACAUGUACACAUGCUCAGAAGGAGAGGAUUUUUAGAAAGGCAGGCCCUGCUCAUGUGUCCUAUAAUUUUGUGUAUAUAUAGCUCGUGCCUCGUAGAAGGAGGAACAUGUGUAUACAAAUUUCAUUAUGCCAACAUGGCACAAGUCUAGACCUAGUUAUGCUUAGGUUAAGGUACAAG